RNAcentral lists this ribosomal RNA (253 nucleotides) under uncultured bacterium. RNAcentral describes it as "partial 16S ribosomal RNA". It matches the Rfam family "Bacterial small subunit ribosomal RNA", at positions 524 to 776 of the family's 1533-position model. The record is from RNAcentral.
UACGUAGGUGGCAAGCGUUAUCCGGAAUUAUUGGGCGUAAAGCGCGCGCAGGCGGUCCUUUAAGUCUGAUGUGAAAGCCCACGGCUCAACCGUGGAGGGUCAUUGGAAACUGGGGGACUUGAGUGCAGAAGAGGAGAGCGGAAUUCCACGUGUAGCGGUGAAAUGCGUAGAGAUGUGGAGGAACACCAGUGGCGAAGGCGGCUCUCUGGUCUGUAACUGACGCUGAGGAGCGAAAGCCAGGGGAGCAAACGGG